RNAcentral lists this ribosomal RNA (577 nucleotides) under Saccharomyces cerevisiae (brewer's yeast). RNAcentral's name for it is "partial large subunit ribosomal RNA". It matches the Rfam family "Eukaryotic large subunit ribosomal RNA", at positions 76 to 744 of the family's 3401-position model. Lineage: Eukaryota; Fungi; Ascomycota; Saccharomycetes; Saccharomycetales; Saccharomycetaceae. The record is from RNAcentral.
UGCCUCAGUAACGGCGAGUGAAGCGGCAAAAGCUCAAAUUUGAAAUCCCCCGGGAAUUGUAAUUUGAAGAGAUUUGGGUCCGGCCGGCAGGGGUUAAGUCCACUGGAAAGUGGCGCCACAGAGGGUGACAGCCCCGUGAACCCCCUUAACGCCCUCAUCCCAGAUCUCCAAGAGUCGAGUUGUUUGGGAAUGCAGCUCUAAGUGGGUGGUAAAUUCCAUCUAAAGCUAAAUACCGGCGAGAGACCGAUAGCGAACAAGUACAGUGAUGGAAAGAUGAAAAGCACUUUGAAAAGAGAGUGAAAAAGUACGUGAAAUUGUUGAAAGGGAAGGGCUUGCAAGCAGACACUUAACUGGGCCAGCAUCGGGGCGGCGGGGAGCAAAACCACCGGGGAAUGUACCUUUCGAGGAUUAUAACCCCGGCCCUUACUCCCAUACCACCCCGAGGCCUGCAAUCUAAGGAUGCUGGCGUAAUGGUUGCAAGUCGCCCGUCUUGAAACACGGACCAAGGAGUCUAACAAUCAUGCAAGUGUUUGGGCCCAAAACCCAUACGCGCAAUGAAAGUAACCGGAGCGAACCU